This 1233-nucleotide ribosomal RNA is filed under the name metagenome. RNAcentral's name for it is "bacterial LSU rRNA". It matches the Rfam family "Bacterial large subunit ribosomal RNA", at positions 1564 to 2808 of the family's 2925-position model. The record is from RNAcentral.
UGAAUACGAGACGCUAAGGCGUCGAAGUAGUGUAUAUCAUACUUCCAAGAAAAGCUUGCAAUGUCAUAGAUAAAAAACGCCUGUACCAUAACCGACACAGGUGGGUAGGUAGAGUAUACUAAGGGGCGCGAGAUAACUCUCUCUAAGGAACUCGGCAAAAUAACUCCGUAACUUCGGGAGAAGGAGUGCCUUAUUCGUAAGGUUGCAAUAACAAGAUCCAAGCAACUGUUUAUCAAAAACACAGGUCUCCGCUAAGUCGCAAGACGAUGUAUGGGGGCUGACGCCUGCCCAGUGCCAGAAGGUUAAAGAAGUUGGUUAGCAAUUGCGAAGCUGAUAACUGAAGCCCUGGUGAACGGCGGCCGUAACGAUAACGGUCCUAAGGUAGCGAAAUUCCUUGUCGGGUAAGUUCCGACCCGCACGAAAGGCGUAAUGAUUUGGAUACUGUCUCGGAGAGGGGCUCGGUGAAAUAGACUGUCUGUGAAGAUGCGGACUACCUGCACCAGGACAGAAAGACCCUAUGAAGCUUUACUGUAACUUGAAAUUGAAAUUGGACUUUAUUCGCGCAGUAUAGGUGGGAGGCUUUGACUAUAAUCUUGCGGGAUUAUUGGAGCCAUCAGUGAGAUACCACUCUUGUAAUGUUAGAUUUCUAACUUUGAAUCAUUAUCUGGUCAAAGAACAGUUUCAGGCGGGCAGUUUGACUGGGGCGGUCGCCUCCUAAACGGUAACGGAGGCGUACAAAGGUUUCCUCUGAACGGUUAGAAAUCGUAUCUAGAGUGUAAAGGCAUAAGGAAGCUUGACUGUGAGACCUACAAGUCGAGCAGGGACGAAAGUCGGUCUUAGUGAUCUGACGGUACUGAGUGGAAAGGCCGUCACUCAACGGAUAAAAGUUACUCUAGGAUAACAGGCUGAUCUCCCCCAAGAGUUCACAUCGACGGGGAGGUUUGGCACCUCGAUGUCGGCUCAUCGCAUCCUGGGGCGGUAGUACGUCCCAAGGGUUGGGCUGUUCGCCCAUGAAAGCGGUACGCGAGCUGGGUUCAGAACGUCGUGAGACAGUUCGGUCCAUAUCCGGUGUAGGCGUUAGAAUAUUGAGAGGAGCCUUCUUUAGUACGAGAGGACCGAGAAGGACAUACCUCUGGUGUACCAGUUAUCGUGCCAACGGUAAACGCUGGGUAGCUAUGUAUGGAGUGGAUAACCGCUGAAAGCAUCUAAGUGGGAAGCCCACCUCAAGAUAAG